AUUGAAUGCUGGCGGCAGGCUUAACACAUGCAAGUCGAGCGGGGUGAUGGUGCUUGCACUAUCACUUAGCGGCGGACGGGUGAGUAAUGCUUAGGAAUCUGCCUAUUAGUGGGGGACAACAUCUCGAAAGGGAUGCUAAUACCGCAUACGUCCUACGGGAGAAAGCAGGGGAUCACUUGUGACCUUGCGCUAAUAGAUGAGCCUAAGUCGGAUUAGCUAGUGGGUGGGGUAAAGGCCUACCAAGGCGACGAUCUGUAGCGGGUCUGAGAGGAGGAUCCGCCACACUGGGACUGAGACACGGCCCAGACUCCUACGGGAGGCAGCAGUGGGGAAUAUUGGACAAUGGGGGGAACCCUGAUCCAGCCAUGCCGCGUGUGUGAAGAAGGCCUUAUGGUUGUAAAGCACUUUAAGCGAGGAGGAGGCUCUUUUGGUUAAUACCCAAGAUGAGUGGACGUUACUCGCAGAAUAAGCACCGGCUAACUCUGUGCCAGCCGCCACCGUAA
Molecule: ribosomal RNA, 503 nt
Filed under: uncultured bacterium
Lineage: Bacteria
Description: partial 16S ribosomal RNA
Rfam family: Bacterial small subunit ribosomal RNA
Source: RNAcentral